This is a long non-coding RNA of Manihot esculenta (cassava), 726 nucleotides long. RefSeq lists it as uncharacterized. The transcript has 2 exons. NCBI's taxonomy places the organism in Eukaryota, Viridiplantae, Streptophyta, Magnoliopsida, Malpighiales, Euphorbiaceae. The record is from RefSeq and is a predicted model, not a curated record.
AGACAAAAACAUUUAUUCCCAUUGGAAAGCACUGGGCCAAUGGCAGUGGCACCCCGUGAACCUGAAUCCUUCUCCCAAUUCCUCUUCACGGGUCCCUAACAUGUGGUUCUUAUCUUCACCCUCUCUCUAUUUAUAAUAACAUAUGACACAGCUACAUCGCCACCACUACUACCUAUUAACACUAAAUACAAUCAACAAGUGCAGAUAUAGAGAUGAUGGAGAAAGGUGCCGGGAGGUGGGUGGUGGUGACGAUGGUGGUGAUGGCUGCUGCCAUUUUUGAAGGCACGAGGUCGUUGAGUUUGUGUGACAUGAGUGACGAUGGUUUAUUGGCAUGCAAGCCGUCGGUGACAAAGCCAAAUCCGGUAGAUCCACCGUCGGAAGAAUGUUGUAAGGCGCUUACUGGGGCCAAUUUGACUUGUCUAUGUUCAUAUAGAAAUUCGCUGGUGUUGCCUGCUCUUGGAAUUGAUCCUGAUCUUGCAUUGGCCUUGCCUGCCAAAUGCAAUCUCACCACUCCAGCCGAUUGCUAAUUGCUAAGGUACAAAGUAUAUUGGUAGAACGUGGGCUUGAAAAGAUAGGAUCUCUAUGGAGCGCCCUUCUUCUUCAGCUGUGGAAGUGUUCGUUGAAGUGGCAUUUACAUAAUUUGUAUGUUCGUGUUUGCUGGAAAUUGAAACCGUUUUCAGUUGUUUGAAACGUAUUUGGGAAAGUAAUCAUGAAUCUUAGUAUGAA